GGACCCGUAGCUCAGUUGGUUAGAGCGCCCGGCUCAUAACCGGGUGGUCAUCGGUUCAAAUCCGGUCGGGUCCACCA
RNAcentral lists this transfer RNA (77 nucleotides) under Euryarchaeota archaeon TMED192. RNAcentral describes it as "tRNA-Met". It matches the Rfam family "tRNA". From Rfam's summary of the family: Transfer RNA (tRNA) molecules are approximately 80 nucleotides in length. Their secondary structure includes four short double-helical elements and three loops (D, anti-codon, and T loops). The record is from RNAcentral. Lineage: Archaea; Methanobacteriati; Methanobacteriota. RNAcentral also lists the same sequence under 5 other names.